This 355-nucleotide unclassified non-coding RNA is filed under the name Hevea brasiliensis (rubber tree). The record is from RNAcentral. Lineage: Eukaryota; Viridiplantae; Streptophyta; Magnoliopsida; Malpighiales; Euphorbiaceae.
GUUUAUUUUAGGGGAAUCCUGUAGGCUGUCUCUUAUUAUUCACACAUGCUAAAUUGGAUGUUAAGCAGCAUAUUCAACCACUAAGCAAUUUUUGUUGGUGAUAUCUCAAUCAAAUAUAGGUGACUAGUUAUUGUUAAGUUUAACUGAUGCUGUUACGUAUAAUUCAAUAUUUAGAAAAGUUGAUCUUGUGCCUGGUGUAUUCAAAAGUUUGCUAGCAUGUUGGACAUGUUUGGCAUGACUCAUCACAAAGACAAUGACAUAUACCUUUUUGAGAAAAUCUUAAAAUUUAUACUAGAGAUGAGAUUUGCAAUUUUAUUUUAGAUUGAAAGUAAUUCUUGGAUGUCAUUAAUUUUAU